UUAAGUUAUUAAGGGCGCACGGUGGAUGCCUUGGCACUAGAAGCCGAUGAAGGACGUUACUAACGACGAUAUGCUUUGGGGAGCUGUAAGUAAGCUUUGAUCCAGAGAUUUCCGAAUGGGGAAACCCAGCAUGAGUUAUGUCAUGUUAUCGAUAUGUGAAUACAUAGCAUAUCAGAAGGCACACCCGGAGAACUGAAACAUCUUAGUACCCGGAGGAAGAGAAAGAAAAUUCGAUUCCCUUAGUAGCGGCGAGCGAAACGGGAAGAGCCCAAACCAACAAGCUUGCUUGUUGGGGUUGUAGGACACUCUAUACGGAGUUACAAAGGACGACAUUAGACGAAUCAUCUGGAAAGAUGAAUCAAAGAAGGUAAUAAUCCUGUAGUCGAAAAUGUUGUCUCUCUUGAGUGGAUCCUGAGUACGACGGAGCACGUGAAAUUCCGUUGGAAUCUGGGAGGACCAUCUCCUAAGGCUAAAUACUCUCUAGUGACCGAUAGUGAACCAGUACCGUGAGGGAAAGGUGAAAAGCACCCCGGAAGGGGAGUGAAAUAGAACCUGAAACCGUGUGCUUACAAGUAGUCAGAGCCCGUUAAUGGGUGAUGGCGUGCCUUUUGUAGAAUGAACCGGCGAGUUACGAUUUGAUGCAAGGUUAAGCAGUAAAUGUGGAGCCGUAGCGAAAGCGAGUCUGAAUAGGGCGUUUAGUAUUUGGUCGUAGACCCGAAACCAGGUGAUCUACCCUUGGUCAGGUUGAAGUUCAGGUAACACUGAAUGGAGGACCGAACCGACUUACGUUGAAAAGUGAGCGGAUGAACUGAGGGUAGCGGAGAAAUUCCAAUCGAACCUGGAGAUAGCUGGUUCUCUCCGAAAUAGCUUUAGGGCUAGCCUCAAGUGAUGAUUAUUGGAGGUAGAGCACUGUUUGGACGAGGGGCCCCUCUCGGGUUACCGAAUUCAGACAAACUCCGAAUGCCAAUUAAUUUAACUUGGGAGUCAGAACAUGGGUGAUAAGGUCCGUGUUCGAAAGGGAAACAGCCCAGACCACCAGCUAAGGUCCCAAAAUAUAUGUUAAGUGGAAAAGGAUGUGGCGUUGCCCAGACAACUAGGAUGUUGGCUUAGAAGCAGCCAUCAUUUAAAGAGUGCGUAAUAGCUCACUAGUCGAGUGACACUGCGCCGAAAAUGUACCGGGGCUAAACAUAUUACCGAAGCUGUGGAUUGUCCUUUGGACAAUGGUAGGAGAGCGUUCUAAGGGCGUUGAAGCAUGAUCGUAAGGACAUGUGGAGCGCUUAGAAGUGAGAAUGCCGGUGUGAGUAGCGAAAGACGGGUGAGAAUCCCGUCCACCGAUUGACUAAGGUUUCCAGAGGAAGGCUCGUCCGCUCUGGGUUAGUCGGGUCCUAAGCUGAGGCCGACAGGCGUAGGCGAUGGAUAACAGGUUGAUAUUCCUGUACCACCUAUAAUCGUUUUAAUCGAUGGGGGGACGCAGUAGGAUAGGCGAAGCGUGCGAUUGGAUUGCACGUCUAAGCAGUAAGGCUGAGUAUUAGGCAAAUCCGGUACUCAUUAAGGCUGAGCUGUGAUGGGGAGAAGACAUUGUGUCUUCGAGUCGUUGAUUUCACACUGCCGAGAAAAGCCUCUAGAUAGAAAAUAGGUGCCCGUACCGCAAACCGACACAGGUAGUCAAGAUGAGAAUUCUAAGGUGAGCGAGCGAACUCUCGUUAAGGAACUCGGCAAAAUGACCCCGUAACUUCGGGAGAAGGGGUGCUCUUUAGGGUUAACGCCCAGAAGAGCCGCAGUGAAUAGGCCCAAGCGACUGUUUAUCAAAAACACAGGUCUCUGCUAAACCGUAAGGUGAUGUAUAGGGGCUGACGCCUGCCCGGUGCUGGAAGGUUAAGAGGAGUGGUUAGCUUCUGCGAAGCUACGAAUCGAAGCCCCAGUAAACGGCGGCCGUAACUAUAACGGUCCUAAGGUAGCGAAAUUCCUUGUCGGGUAAGUUCCGACCCGCACGAAAGGCGUAACGAUUUGGGCACUGUCUCAACGAGAGACUCGGUGAAAUCAUAGUACCUGUGAAGAUGCAGGUUACCCGCGACAGGACGGAAAGACCCCGUGGAGCUUUACUGUAGCCUGAUAUUGAAAUUCGGCACAGCUUGUACAGGAUAGGUAGGAGCCUUUGAAACGUGAGCGCUAGCUUACGUGGAGGCGCUGGUGGGAUACUACCCUAGCUGUGUUGGCUUUCUAACCCGCACCACUUAUCGUGGUGGGAGACAGUGUCAGGCGGGCAGUUUGACUGGGGCGGUCGCCUCCUAAAAGGUAACGGAGGCGCUCAAAGGUUCCCUCAGAAUGGUUGGAAAUCAUUCAUAGAGUGUAAAGGCAUAAGGGAGCUUGACUGCGAGACCU
Molecule: ribosomal RNA, 2382 nt
Filed under: Staphylococcus aureus VET1912R
Lineage: Bacteria; Bacillati; Bacillota; Bacilli; Caryophanales; Staphylococcaceae
Description: bacterial LSU rRNA
Rfam family: Bacterial large subunit ribosomal RNA
Source: RNAcentral